Molecule: long non-coding RNA, 255 nt
Filed under: Sorghum bicolor (sorghum)
Lineage: Eukaryota; Viridiplantae; Streptophyta; Magnoliopsida; Poales; Poaceae
Description: long non-coding RNA (SBIC_LNC003763)
Source: RNAcentral
ACACGUAUCUAAAAUUGCAUUCGUUCAUUGAUCAAGGGAGUACUAAUUUUCAACCGAUAGCGAUCACAAAAGAAAAAAUUAAUACAUAACAGAAAAUAAAAAAUUCUAACAUAUUUUUCGGUGUAUUUCUACUCUAAAAUGAUUUCAUUUUAAAUGGUAAAAUUGAAACAUAUUAAAUAAAAAAUUAACUUCUCGGCUCGAAUAUAUAUAUUACAAAAGUAGAAAAAGACAUAUUUAGUAAAAAACCAUCCUCUA